RNAcentral lists this ribosomal RNA (254 nucleotides) under uncultured bacterium. Its description in RNAcentral is "partial 16S ribosomal RNA". It matches the Rfam family "Bacterial small subunit ribosomal RNA", at positions 524 to 776 of the family's 1533-position model. The record is from RNAcentral.
UACGUAGGUGGCAAGCGUUGUCCGGAUUUACUGGGCGUAAAGAGCGCGCAGGCGGUCGUUCAAGUCGCGUGUGAAAGCCCCCGGCUCAACUGGGGAGGGUCACGCGAUACUGAUCGACUCGAAGGCAGGAGAGGGUAGUGGAAUUCCCGGUGUAGUGGUGAAAUGCGUAGAUAUCGGGAGGAACACCAGUGGCGAAGGCGACUACCUGGCCUGUUUCUUGACGCUGAGGCGCGGAAGCUAGGGGAGCAAACGGG